This 253-nucleotide ribosomal RNA is filed under the name uncultured bacterium. RNAcentral describes it as "partial 16S ribosomal RNA". It matches the Rfam family "Bacterial small subunit ribosomal RNA", at positions 524 to 776 of the family's 1533-position model. The record is from RNAcentral.
UACAUGUGGGGCAAGCGUUGUUCGGAAUUACUGGGCAUAAAGGGUGCGUAGGCGGCUUGUUAAGUCAGUGGUGAAAUCUCCGGGCUCAACCCGGAAACUGCCAUUGAUACUAUCAGUCUUGAAUAUUGUUGAGGUGGGCGGAAUAUGUCAUGUAGCGGUGAAAUGCAUAGAGAUGACAUAGAACACCGAUUGCGAAGGCAGCUCACUAAACAUGUAUUGACGCUGAGGCACGAAAGCGUGGGGAUCAAACAGG